ACUCCGUGAUGAAGGCAUUUCUGUAAUAAUUAUUUGUACCUUUCCCAUGCUUCAUACAAUGACACAUCAUCCAUUGUUGGAAAGUAGUAAUUUCGUUCCUCAACUU
Molecule: small nucleolar RNA, 106 nt
Filed under: Gossypium hirsutum (cotton)
Lineage: Eukaryota; Viridiplantae; Streptophyta; Magnoliopsida; Malvales; Malvaceae
Also listed under: 1 other name
Description: Plant small nucleolar RNA R71
Rfam family: Plant small nucleolar RNA R71
About the family: R71 is a member of the C/D box family of snoRNAs containing the C (UGAUGA) and D (CUGA) box motifs. Multiple nearly identical copies of this snoRNA have been identified in Arabidopsis, and it is thought to function as a 2'-O-ribose methylation guide for 18S ribosomal RNA.
Source: Rfam by way of RNAcentral